GUCAGGAUGCGCGAGCUGUCUAAAGCUCUGUGUUCAGAUCGCAGGCCACUUCUGUGGGCGUGGGUUCGAAUCCCACUUCUGACA
This is a non-coding RNA of Trichonephila clavipes, 84 nucleotides long. NCBI's taxonomy places the organism in Eukaryota, Metazoa, Arthropoda, Arachnida, Araneae, Nephilidae. The record is from the annotation of a GenBank genome assembly.